AUAUAACAGAGACGAAGAGCCAAAAACCUCUCUCUUUCUCUCUGCCUUGAUUCGGUGGUCUUUGUGGCCGGAACCCUUCCCACCGAUCGUCGUCGACGUCUCUCGUCGCUCUCUGAUCCCAUUUUUCGACAGGGAACUGUACAGAAAAUCUUUUACUUAGUUGGCGUUGCUGGCUUCUUGCAAGCGAUUUGAGCUGUUUUUGUCGCAGAUUAAUCUAGGUGAAGGAUAAUAGUUAGGAACACUAAAGUAUCCUAUACAAGAGACGAGCUUUUAUUUUUUAGCAACCUCUGCAGCAAAUUGCCCAGUGGAUUCGACUCUUCAGUCUUGAGUAAAUUGGAUGAAACAUUUAUUGCUCUAAAUGAGAGGCAAAGAGGUUCUGGAGUUUCGAUCUUUCAUAGUGCAAAGAACAGUGAUUACACGUCACUGCCACAGACUAGGCCAAACAGCACAGUUAGUUUGUAUCGGGGAAGCUCUGGGCGGUGGGAUGCACGAUCAUCUGAAUUAAACAUCAGAGAUGGAGAUUUCGAAUCAAACCGUGAAACAAAUAUUCAAGAUAAUUAUAAAUGUGUUGGAACACAAUCUAGACAUUAUGCUCAACAUGCUGAACAUGAUGGACUACUCGCAACUGGUACCUAUCAGAGACCUUCAGGUUCUGAAGAACCUGUAAUGGAAAAAUCUAGAGUAGCCAACCAAUUUCAACUCAAUAAGACUCCUGAAUCCUAUCAGCCCCAACAACCUUAUAAGGCAUUACAUUUUCAAGGAAAGGACAGUAAAGAUUUAUGUAAUGACGAAACUUUUGGAACAAAUGGAUAUUCAAAUGAGGUCAGAACAGAAGAAUGGAGGAGAAGAGAAUCCUUUGAGCUUAUAAGAAAGGAACAACAGAAAGCACUGCAAGAGAAGCAAAAACAGAUUCCUGAUAACCACAAACAAAAUCUUGAUGCUGGUAUUGUUUCAUUACUUGAUAGUUCUGCUGAUAAGAAGAACAUAUUUGGCAAAGCUGAUGAAGAAGAAGUGCCUUCAAAGUCUCAGAUUGAAUCUUCUAGAGUUUCUACACACACUCCUCUACCGCGACCACUUGUACCACCUGGCUUUGCCACUAUGCCACUGGACAAAGUCCUCCCUGCUCAAUCUCUUUCCUUUGCAUUGGAGGCCCCUAUUACUGAUACUGUUAGCAGUGAGCAUCUAGAUAGCAUACAUGAUGAUCAAGAAAAGUUUCAUUCAUUAGACAUCAUCUCUGAUGAUAGUGUGAAAAAAAUUGUUGGAAACUUCUCUUCCAAAACCUCUGCCCUUGAGAAUGUCAAUAUGGUUCAGGGAGGAGUCAUAAAGAAUAAUGUUUCCGACAUGGAAAAAAUUGAGUUUGAGGGUACAAAUUCAUUUGUUGACAAUUCUGUUUCCAUAUUGGAAAGGUUGCUUGGUGGUUCUCUACACACUUCUAGCAGCUCUGCCACUUCUGCUGCAGGUUUUAACAUGGAUGAAGAACCAUGGACGCCUUCACUUUCUGAAUCUUCCAAGUUUUCGAGUUGGUCUGUUGAAGAAAACAAGCUUUCUGAAGAUUUGUCAUCGAAGAAUUUACUUUCUUUAAUCACUAAUAAGGGUAAAGUUGGCUCUUCAACUUCAAUAGUUUCUCAUGACAAAUUAUUUAAUCAUUUGGAACCAGGCAGUAUCACUUGUAACAAUGCUAGACAUAAAUUUGAUGCAUCUCCUACAACUGCUUUGAUGGUUGAGGUCGCUGAACAAUUUCAUCAAAUUGAUAAGCCAGAUCAAAAUCAUGUUGUACUUACAUGUGAGGAGCUUGAGCAGUCCAUCUUAGCUGACUUAGAAGGCAGGUCAAAUCUGCAGCAUGUUGUGCACAGACCUGGGAUAGUCACAGACGAAAACAUGAAACAUCUAAAAUCUGAUAUUGAUGAUGAAGCAUCACAACAUCUUCUUUCUCUAUUACGAAAGGAGGCCAAGAAGGAGAAGGAGAUGCCAUUUGGAACUGGCGUAGAUGUUGAAUUCUUGGAUAAAUUGUCUUUAACUGAUAAAAGUUUUCCUUCUUAUCUAGCAAUUCCUGAUAAAAACACUGCUGAGAUAAUAUUCAGCUCUGAGAAGUCCAUGAUCCUUGAAGCGUUAUUUGGAGCCAAUUUUAUGAACGAGCUCCUAUUUGCUCAAGCUCCAGUUUCUACAAGAAGAGCAGUGAUAGAUGAUGAAACCAACAUUGAUGCCUUGCUAUCAUCGGUUGGAUUGCCAUUUCCAAAAUCAGAUGCUAGUUUCUGUUCUAGGUCUGGCAAUUGUCAGCUGAAGAAGUUUGUUCGUCAAAUUGACAUUGCACCUCUUAGCAAGGCUGGUCUUGAAGAAAAAAAUUUGGAAUUCCACUUGCCAGAUGAGGAUAGUUUGAUUAUUGAGAGUGACAUUUUGGAACCGGUGAUCUCAGAUCAUUUGCCCUUUGUCGAUACAAGUAAAAAUAAGGAGCUAGUUUCCAAAAUAAAUGUGGAACAUCUCAAAGAUAAAUUGCUAACUGGUAUUCCAAAGGGAGACAUACGAAUAUCUGUGUUGGAUGCUACUUUACAGAGACCACAUAACCUGGACCGUGCUUGUGCUCUUAAGCAUCAUUGCCAGGGAAUGAAAGCAUCUCAUACCAUUAAUUACACUAGAACUCUACAUCCGUUGUUGCAACAUCUCUCAAACAGGAAUCAGCAAAUAAAGCAUAUUGGCUCUCAACAAAAUUUAAAUGUCCCUCAAAAUUUGCCUGAGAAUGUUGUUCCUCGUAAUGUUUCCAAUCAUGCCAUUGGUCCCACUUCCUAUGACAUGAUGUCACAGCAGAUGUCAAUUCCCAGAAACUUUCAGUACCAACUGCCUCUCCCAGGUUUUGCAAGAGGUAUACAAUUACCGUGUCAGAUUAUUUUUUUGCAACGGUAUCUACCAAAGACAAACAAGGUGGACAACAUUCCAUUACAGCAACAGCAGCCAACCGGUAGUAGUUCUGGAAUUGGAAUUCCAGGUGCUGUCGCUGGAGGUGGAGGGAAUCAUCCAGAGGCAUUUCAAAGGCAUCCUUGCCCUGCAGCUGCUGGUCACAUUCCAAGUUUGUAUGGUCCAGAAUUUCGAUACAGAUGACAUAAAACAAUGAAACCCUUGCGAUUCAUUAGUUGCUGCUGUUAUCUUGGUUUUCCUGCUGCUUCUUUUUCACCUUUUUCUCUUCUGUUUUGGUGAUGCCCAGAGUGUCAUUUCAAAUAGCUCCAGCCAAAGUCUCAAUCCAUUGGUCGUUCUCCCCUCUGAAAAGGAAAAAUACGGGAAGAUUGGUAGCAAUUAAGAUAAGAGAAUUUUUUGAUACAUGUGUAUAUAGGCAACCCUUCAUUUUACAUUCGAUUUCUGGCAUUCAACGUAAAAAAUUCCAUCUGGUUUUACUCCAAAGAAUAUGAAAUAAACUCGAAUCACUUCCAGGGUUGAGUUGGAUAUCUAUAUUAAAAAUAAAUAAAUAAAUGAAAUAAACUCGAAACUUUUACGUCAAUAUUUAUUGGAAUUUUGCCACGGUCUCUUUAAAUUCCAUAUUUUCACGCCGAGUUCUCCGUUUGUAAAGCGAACAAGAUAAAGUAGGCUCACAACGCUCCCUCCUGGUGAGCAUGGCAACAACCCCGCUUCCCUUCUCUUCCUUCCUGCCUCUCCUCUCCCAUCCCCACAAGCUCUCCUUCCGCUCCCUCUCCAAAACCCUAGAUCCAGCGCUCUCUCCCUGCCGGCCCACCCCGAUCUGCUGCAGGGCUUCUCCUCAGACGCCGGAAGACUCCGUCGAGACCAAAGGGACCGGCGCCGUUGCCCCUACUCGCGGCGAUGUCUACCUCGAGCGCCAGCAAGCUACGUCUGCGACCGCUUUCGUUUUGGAGAAGGACAAUCAGGACAAGUCGAGGAGGAAGAGGAGGGUCGGUGCCAAGUUUCCUAACAACGUCGCUUGCUGCUACGGCUGCGGAGCUCCUCUCCAGACCGCGGAGAUCGAUGCCCCCGGUUAUGUCAUCGCUGAGACCUAUGAGUUGAAGAAGAGGCACCACCAACUUAGAACAGUUCUCUGUGGCAGAUGUAAGCUUUUGUCUCAUGGACACAUGGUAACUGCUGUGGGUGGGCAUGGUGGUUAUCCCGGCGGCAAACAAUUCAUUUCUGCUGAAGAGUUACGGGAUAAGCUCUCUCAUCUACGACACGAGAAAGUACUUAUUGUUAAAUUAGUUGAUAUUGUUGACUUCAAUGGCAGCUUUUUGGCUCGAAUACGUGAUCUUGCUGGUGCUAACCCUAUUAUAUUGGUCAUAACUAAGGUUGACCUCCUGCCCAGAGGCACUGAUCUAAAUUGUAUUGGUGAUUGGGUUGUUGAAGCUACUACUAAGAAGAAGCUCAAUGUUGUUAGUGUUCAUCUAACUAGUUCAAAGUCUUUGGUGGGGAUCACUGGGGUUAUAUCAGAGAUUCAAAAGGAGAAAAAGGGCCGAGAUGUCUAUAUUCUGGUUAGUAUAUACACUGACUUGAGAGUGAAGUUCUUUAUCCAUGUUCCAAAAUUUCUGUGCUAAGCAAUACUUUGUUGUCAUCUUUGAAUAUAUUAAGUCAUUUGAUGUCAGUUCAGCAUAACUGUAUGUCAAUAUGUAAAUUUUCGUUUCCCCUUGUCUCUAGUUCCGUGAUUUUGUACAUUUGAUUUUUUUUUUCUUGUUAGAAUAAUUUUCUAGUGUCCACUUUUCUAAUUUCCUUUCUAGUUUAUUUUCUAUUACCUUAUCUAUAUGUUUGCUGAAAAUGAGAAGAGAGGAAAACAAAAAGGAAGUCGUUGAUUUCCAAUGUCAAUAGUCAUUUAAAAAGUCAUUUUAGAUUAAGGGUGUUAAUGGGAUGGGACACGGCCCAAUCCAGUCGGACCAGACCCAACAUGGGGAUCAAGCCCAACAUGUCUGCAGGCCAAAUCUGGCUAGCCAAAAUAAACUCUAUUUUAGUAAAUAAUAUUUAAUAAAAAUAUUAAUUUUAACUAUAUUCUAAUUUUCUUGAAGUUUUUAUUUUUUAAAUAUUUUUUAACUAGACAUAUUAAAAAAAAAGGAAAUGGCUUGUAGACCCAAGCCAUGUUGAGCUUGGCCCGACUUACAUUGUGCCCUGAUUCAUGCUGGGUUGGACCACAGACUAAUUCAGGUUGUGCCAUCACAGCCUAUUUGACUUCUCACAGUCCAGAAUAGGCCUGGGCUGUGUUUGGCCUGGCCCAUCUAAUUAAAACCUCUAGGUUCUUAAUUCUGAGGCUAUAGAUUCAACUUAUUAAGAAAUGACACUAUUGCACAGCAGAACAACAUCAUCUUAUGAAUUUACUCAUUGGAUGAAGCCACAAAGGGCUGUUCAUCUGAUAAGCCAUUUGUGCCUUUAAAUAUAAAUUGAUUUAGGAGUUGGGAUAAACUAAUGACUUUCAGUGUAAAGGUAUUAGUUAAACUUUGUCAAAUCAAUGAUAAUAUUCUGUUUGCACUUUUUCAUUGUCUGAAACUUUUGUUGUUCUUACUUUAUCUUAUUACUUGCAUUAACUACUUCAGGGUGCUGCAAAUGUAGGGAAGUCUGCAUUUAUCAAUGCUUUGCUCAGUAAGUUUCAUGACAUGCCACCUUUUCCACAUGAAAGUCAAUCUUUUAUUUCUUCUUAUUAUUGCGCCUUGACUAGUAUGAACUGUUGAUUAUCUGCAUUUUGGGGAAGUCAACUUGUUCAUGCUAAUUUUUUUCUUUGACAUUCUGUUGUGGGCUGAGUUGACAGUUAUAUGUUAAAAGCUCAGGUUCUCUCAAUGGUACAGUGCAACUUUCAUUAGUUCCUUUUCAUUAUAAAUUUUGCUUCAUGAUUAGUAUGCUUUAUUUCUUUAAAAUUUUCCUUCAGCAAGAAAAAGGUUGUUUGGAUAUAGUUUUGCUUUUGUAACGGACACACAAAUUAAUAAUGGUUUUGCAUGAAAAUGUAUACAACAUGCUUCUUGUGUAUGUAAUAGGGCGUGGCUGCAUUAAGCAGCUUGCCUUUAUAUUAUAAUUUUUCCUUGUUUUGAAAUUCUCUUCCAAAAUACUUUAUCCUGAAUAGUACAACUUGUAUUUUCCGAUGCUCUGUCAUAAAAAACUAAAAUGUUUAUCUCUGUUAAUAGAGGAGGCUUAUAGAGUACCUUGUCCUUUGUUGUGAGAUUUAUACUUUAACUUUUGGGUUUGGAUCUCCUAAUAAUGUGUAAGUCAAUUUAGGUGAUCAGUACAUCUAAAUUCACUCUCUUGUUCAAGCAGAGCUAAUGGCAAAAAGGGAUCCAAUUGCUGCAGCUGCUCGGAAGUACAAACCAAUGCAGUCAGCUGUUCCUGGGACAACACUGGGGCCUAUUCAAAUUGAAGCCUUUCAAGGAGGAGGGAAUCUGUUUGAUACACCUGGUGUGCACCUUCAUCAUCGACAAGCAGCAGUAGUCCAUUCUGAUGAUCUACCUUCUCUUGCACCUCAAAGUCGUCUAAAAGGACAAUCAUUUCCUAUUACCUCAAAUGAAACAGCCACUGGUCAGGAAACUGUUGGUUUAAAUGGGUAUUCGUUAUUUUGGGGAGGCCUUGUUCGAAUUGAUGUUAUCAAGGUUCUUCCAAAGACACGGCUGAUCUUUUAUGGACCCAAGAAACUAAAGGUUCAUAUGGUUUCAACUGUUGUAGCAGAUGAGUUUUACAACGAACAACUUGGAAUCACAUUGACACCUCCAACAGACAGAGAAAAAACUGAAUCUUGGAUAGGUCUUCAAAUAGUAAAGCAACUGAAUAUAAAGUUCGAAGAUACAAGAAGGCCUGCCUGUGACAUCGCCAUAUCAGGUUUGGGAUGGAUAGUAGUUGAACCAAUUGGCGGCACAUAUACUCCUCAUGAGACAGAUUCAGAGCAGGCAGGGGAACUGCAUCUAGCUGUGCAUGUGCCGAAGCCAGUUGAGGUCUUUCUACGACCUCCAAUGCCUGUUGGUAAAGCAGGUGAAGAGUGGUACCAGUAUCAAGACUUGACAGAGAAGGAAGAAGAGUUGAGACCUAAAUGGUUUUAUUGAACUUUUGCUCUCUUCUCUUGGGCUAAAAUUUGUUAGUGUCAACUCUUGUUGCUUCCCCAUGAUGUUUGUAAAUUAAAAGAUGAAUAGCAGCUUUUUGUCGGCUUGGUCAUCAUCGCUAAAGCGGCAUUAUUUGUGACUAUUUGAGAUCAGCUACAUGAAUAUAAAUCCAACAUCUGAUAUAUUAUGGUGAA
Zingiber officinale is the source of this 7186-nucleotide RNA transcript. It is a transcript of the gene named putative nitric oxide synthase, with no coding region annotated. The record is from RefSeq and is a predicted model, not a curated record. NCBI's taxonomy places the organism in Eukaryota, Viridiplantae, Streptophyta, Magnoliopsida, Zingiberales, Zingiberaceae. The transcript has 21 exons.